GACGAACGCUGGCGGCGUGCUUAACACAUGCAAGUCGAGCGAGGACCGCACUCUUUUGGGUGUGGAGCCGAGCGGCGAACGGGUGAGUAACACGUGAGCAACCUGCCCCUGGCUCUGGGAUAGCCCUGGGAAACCGGGAUUAAUACCGGAUAUGACCGCUGCUCGCAUGGGUGGUGGUGGAAAGGUUCCCCCUUGUGGGGUUCCGGCCGGGGAUGGGCUCGCGGCCUAUCAGCUUGUUGGUGGGGUGACGGCCUACCAAGGCGAUGACGGGUAGCCGGCCUGAGAGGGUGGUCGGCCACACUGGGACUGAGACACGGCCCAGACUCCUACGGGAGGCAGCAGUGGGGAAUAUUGCGCAAUGGGCGGAAGCCUGACGCAGCGACGCCGCGUGGGGGAUGAAGGCCUUCGGGUUGUAAACCUCUUUCAGCAGGGACGAAGUUGACGUGUACCUGCAGAAGAAGCGCCGGCCAACUACGUG
This 478-nucleotide ribosomal RNA is filed under the name uncultured bacterium. RNAcentral's name for it is "bacterial SSU rRNA". It matches the Rfam family "Bacterial small subunit ribosomal RNA", at positions 28 to 507 of the family's 1533-position model. The record is from RNAcentral.